RNAcentral lists this ribosomal RNA (661 nucleotides) under Paenibacillus xylanilyticus. RNAcentral describes it as "bacterial SSU rRNA". It matches the Rfam family "Bacterial small subunit ribosomal RNA", at positions 55 to 696 of the family's 1533-position model. The record is from RNAcentral. Lineage: Bacteria; Bacillati; Bacillota; Bacilli; Caryophanales; Paenibacillaceae.
AUGCAAGUCGAGCGGACUUGAUGAGAAGCUUGCUUCCUUGAUGGUUAGCGGCGGACGGGUGAGUAACACGUAGGCAACCUGCCCUCAAGCUUGGGACAACUACCGGAAACGGUAGCUAAUACCGAAUACUUGUUUUCUUCGCCUGAAGAGAACUGGAAAGACGGAGCAAUCUGUCACUUGAGGAUGGGCCUGCGGCGCAUUAGCUAGUUGGUGAGGUAACGGCUCACCAAGGCGACGAUGCGUAGCCGACCUGAGAGGGUGAUCGGCCACACUGGGACUGAGACACGGCCCAGACUCCUACGGGAGGCAGCAGUAGGGAAUCUUCCGCAAUGGGCGAAAGCCUGACGGAGCAAUGCCGCGUGAGUGAUGAAGGUUUUCGGAUCGUAAAGCUCUGUUGCCAGGGAAGAACGUCCGUGAGAGUAACUGCUCUGGGAGUGACGGUACCUGAGAAGAAAGCCCCGGCUAACUACGUGCCAGCAGCCGCGGUAAUACGUAGGGGGCAAGCGUUGUCCGGAAUUAUUGGGCGUAAAGCGCGCGCAGGCGGUCAUUUAAGUCUGGUGUUUAAUCCCGGGGCUCAACCCCGGAUCGCACUGGAAACUGGAUGACUUGAGUGCAGAAGAGGAGAGUGGAAUUCCACGUGUAGCGGUGAAAUGCGUAGAGA